GACGAACGCUGGCGGCGUGCUUAACACAUGCAAGUCGAGCGGUAAGGCCUCUUCGUUGGUACACGAGCGUCGGACGGGGGAGUGAGAAGUAGGUGAGCAGCCCUCACCUCUGGGAUAGGCCUGGGAAAGUGAGUCUAAUGCCGAAUAUGACCUUUCCUCUGAUGCGGGUUGGUGGAAAGUUUUUUCCGCUGGUGAUGGGCCCGCUGGCUAUCUGCUUGCUGGUGGGGUGAGUGCCUACCAAGGCGGCGACGGGUAGCCGGCCUGAGUGGGCGACCGGCCAAAGUGGGAGUGAGACACGGGCAAGACGCCUACGGGAGGCAGCAGGGGGGAAUAUUGCGCAAGGGGCGGAAGGCUGAAGCAGCGACGGCGCGUGGAGGACGGCGGCCAGGGGGUAGUAAACCUCUUACGAACCCGACGAAUUUGGACGGUAGGUGUAGAAGAAGCAACGGCCAACUACGUG
RNAcentral lists this ribosomal RNA (460 nucleotides) under uncultured bacterium. Its description in RNAcentral is "partial 16S ribosomal RNA". It matches the Rfam family "Bacterial small subunit ribosomal RNA", at positions 28 to 507 of the family's 1533-position model. The record is from RNAcentral.